UACAGAGGGUGCAAGCGUUAAUCGGAAUUACUGGGCGUAAAGCGUGCGCAGGCGGUUUGCUAAGACCGAUGUGAAAUCCCCGGGCUUAACCUGGGAACUGCAUUGGUGACUGGCAAGCUAGAGUAUGGCAGAGGGGGGUAGAAUUCCACGUGUAGCAGUGAAAUGCGUAGAGAUGUGGAGGAAUACCGAUGGCGAAGGCAGCCCCCUGGGCCAAUACUGACGCUCAUGCACGAAAGCGUGGGGAGCAAACAGG
RNAcentral lists this ribosomal RNA (253 nucleotides) under uncultured bacterium. RNAcentral's name for it is "partial 16S ribosomal RNA". It matches the Rfam family "Bacterial small subunit ribosomal RNA", at positions 524 to 776 of the family's 1533-position model. The record is from RNAcentral.